AAAAAUGUAGUUUACUUAAAACCUUGCUUUGAUAGGGCAAAGAUACAACAAACGUUGUCAUUUUUA
Molecule: transfer RNA, 66 nt
Filed under: Asymmetron sp. A TK-2007
Lineage: Eukaryota; Metazoa; Chordata; Leptocardii; Amphioxiformes; Branchiostomatidae
Description: tRNA-Ile
Source: RNAcentral